UACGUUAGAUUUGCCGCGCUUCUCAUGUCCCGCCCUUCCAUUGUCUUUUGUUAUCUACAAGUCGAGCCGCUAAGAUUUCGAAUAGAAACGGACAUCAGGAAAUAGAACUUAGGCAAGAGAACAGCACGAGAGAAUGUACGAUGAUUUCCAUAUUCUCUGGAUUCAUUAGAAAAAUAUUAACGAUACAUUUGAAAAAAAGAAGGAAAAAAUAUAAAUGAACAAUUAUUAAUACCUAAUUGGCAACUUGGAAAUAGUUCUUUUUGGUAUUACAGAAUGAAAAGUCUCUUCUGGUUAUCUCCCCUUCAGAUGCAUCUAGCUGAUUACUUAUGAAAUUUACCGAGGAUAAAAAGUUUGCUUCCUAUUGGAUGACAAUAUUAUUUUUAUGAUUCUGGUCUAUACUUUCAUAAGAAUUCUACUACAUCAAAAAGCAAGAUCUGGCUAACACCAAGAUUUACAGAAUUUGUCAAAAAACAUAUUUGCAAGGAAAGAUGGAAGAGAUCUAAACUGAUUUAUGUCUAAGGAGGUGAGAGUUGGAUGCAUGAUUGAUUUAAGGGUGUAAUAGUUAUAAAGUGUUCACAACAAUGUGGCAGGAA
Long non-coding RNA from Vespa velutina, 593 nucleotides. RefSeq lists it as uncharacterized. Lineage: Eukaryota; Metazoa; Arthropoda; Insecta; Hymenoptera; Vespidae. The transcript has 3 exons. The record is from RefSeq and is a predicted model, not a curated record.